AAGCUCAAAUUUGAAAUCUGGCGUCUUCGGCGUCCGAGUUGUAAUUUGGAGGGGUAUCUUCGGGAAGCAGCACCGUUCUAAGUUCCUUGGAACAGGACGUCAUAGAGGGUGAGAAUCCCGUGCUUGGGCAGUUGUCUGUUUCCCAAUUGAGAUGCCUCCGACGAGUCGAGUUGUUUGGGAAUGCAGCUCAAAAUGGGUGGUAAAUUUCAUCUAAAGCUAAAUAUUGGCGAGAGACCGAUAGCGCACAAGUAGAGUGAUCGAAAGAUGAAAAGCACUUUGAAAAGAGAGUUAAAAAGUACGUGAAAUUGUUGAAAGGGAAGCGCUUGAGAUCAAACUCGAUCAUUGGUGAUGCCUUGGCAUUAUUGCUGAGGUGCACUUGCCAUUGAUUGGGCCAGCAUCGGUUCUGACGGUGGGAAAACCGGUAAGGGAAUGUGGCUCUCUUCGGAGAGUGUUAUAGACCUAACCUUUAAUACCACCAGUUGGGACCGAGGACCGCGCUUCGUGCUAGGAUGCUGGCGUAAUGGUCUUAAGCGACCCGUCUUGAAACACGGACCAAGGAGUCUAACAUCUAUGCGAGUGUUCGGGUGGAAAACCCUUGCGCGUAAUGAAAGUGAACGGAGGUGGGAACCGUUAAGGUGCACCAUCGACCGAUCCUGAUGUCUUCGGAUGGAUUUGAGUAUGAGCAUAGCUGUUGGGACCCGAAAGAUGGUGAACUAUGCCUGAAUAGGGUGAAGC
Molecule: ribosomal RNA, 735 nt
Filed under: Leucoscypha leucotricha
Lineage: Eukaryota; Fungi; Ascomycota; Pezizomycetes; Pezizales; Pyronemataceae
Description: partial 28S ribosomal RNA
Rfam family: Eukaryotic large subunit ribosomal RNA
Source: RNAcentral